This 338-nucleotide unclassified non-coding RNA is filed under the name soil metagenome. RNAcentral's name for it is "partial contains 5.8S ribosomal RNA, internal transcribed spacer 2, and large subunit ribosomal RNA". The stretch from base 1 to 120 matches the Rfam family "5.8S ribosomal RNA", at positions 35 to 154 of the family's 154-position model. The record is from RNAcentral.
GAUGAAGAACGUAGCGAAAUGCGAUAACUAAUGUGAAUUGCAGAAUUCAGUGAAUCAUCGAGUCUUUGAACGCACAUUGCGCCCCCUGGUAUUCCGGGGGGCAUGCCUGUCCGAGCGUCAUUGCUGCCCUCAAGCACGGCUUGUGUGUUGGGCUCCGUCCCCCCGGGGACGGGCCCGAAAGGCAGCGGCGGCACCGAGUCCGGUCCUCGAGCGUAUGGGGCUUUGUCACCCGCUCUGUAGGCCCGGCCGGCGCCAGCCGACAACCCAUCAUCCUUUUCAGGUUGACCUCGGAUCAGGUAGGGAUACCCGCUGAACUUAAGCAUAUCAAUAAGUGGGGA